UAGAUUGUAAACAUUGUUAAUUUAGGAGAAAAAAAGAAAAAAAAAUUAUGUUAAGAAAACCAAUUUUUAGUUAAAAAUAAGGAUAAGUAAAGGUUAUUGAAAUUUUAGGUUUAACGAUAGAGUAAAAGUACUGAAAAGGAAAGGAAGAAAAAGGAGCAUAUUAAUUAUAAGUUUGUAUAGUAAAUUUAAAAAGUUGUACCUUGUGUAUCAGGGAAGAUUUAAGUUUGUUAAGUAUAUUAAUCGUCUCGAAAUAAGAAUAGCUAAUUAUUAUAAUAAAGUUUUUGUGACAUAAAGAUUUUUAAUAUAUAAUUAAAGAUGAAAUAUCAUACGAGUCUUAUUAUAUCUAGUUUUCUGAAAAUAAAUUUAAUUUGGGAUUUAAGAAGAAAGUUUUUUUAAAGUCUAAGAGUAGGAGGGGUUAGCUUCUUAUUCAAUAAGGUUGAAGUAAUAGUUAAGUAAAUUAAAUAAUGGUUUUUCUAGGCUUAAAAAUAGCCAUGAUUAUAAAUUGUUUUUAUUGAGAUGUAAUAAUAAAAUUAUUUGUCUUAACUUUAACGAAUAUCGGAAUAUUAUUUGAAAUUUUGUUAAUUAAGUUAUAAUUAUUUUAUUAGUAUAGUUGAUGUUUUUAUGGAGGAUUAAAAUUUUUUUUAAAAAGGUUUAAAAUAAUAAUGACGGGGUAAAGGAAUUCGGCAAAUAUACACCUUGCCUGUUUAUCAAAAACAUGUCCGUUUGGAGUUAUAAAAGGUCUGACCUGCUCACUGAUAAGUAAUGUUGUUUAAGAGCCGCGGUAUAUUGACCGUGCAAAGGUAGCAUAAUAAUUAGUUUUUUAAUUGGAAACUUGUAUGAAUGGUUGGACAAGGGUGUAUCUGUCUCUGUAGCGUAAAUAGAAGUUAACUUUUAAGUGAAAAGGCUUAAAUGGACCAGGGGGACGAUAAGACCCUAUAAAGCUUUAUAUGUUGAUUAGGUUUGGUUAAAGUUAAAGAGAUUAAAAACUUAAUUUGGUUAUCAUAUUUUAUUGGGGCGAUAUAGGUAUAAUUUAUAUUAACUGCUUGUUUAAAAAACAUCAAGAUGGAUGUAUAAAAGUUAAAUGAUCCUUUAUAAAGAUUAAGAGACUAAGUUACUUUAGGGAUAACAGCGUUAUUUUUUUUGAGAGUUCAUAUCGAAAAAAGAGUUUGCGACCUCGAUGUUGAAUUAAAAUGUCUAUAUAGUGCAGCCGCUAUACAAGAAGGUCUGUUCGACCUUUAAAUUUUUACAUGAUUUGAGUUCAGACCGGCGUGAGCCAGGUCGGUUUCUAUCUCUUGGGGAAAAAUUUAAGAUUACUUUAGUACGAAAGGAUUGAGUAAUUCAAAGUUUUUGUGAAAAAAAAAGAAAUUAAGUGGAAU
Molecule: ribosomal RNA, 1376 nt
Filed under: Austinograea alayseae
Lineage: Eukaryota; Metazoa; Arthropoda; Malacostraca; Decapoda; Bythograeidae
Description: 16S ribosomal RNA
Rfam family: Archaeal large subunit ribosomal RNA (bases 658-1376)
Source: RNAcentral